ACAGUAUUUGUGACAGUGUGAUCGCUUUCACAUUGUCCACUGUCUAAAGAUGCAUUUAUGCCCAUAUGGAUGUGAGAAUUUUCGUGAGCUCCAUUUUUUUCCGAACCCAAAAAUCACUUGCCCCUAAUUUAAAAUUACAACAUAUUAUUUAUCAUGUCAUAGUUUAAUUGCACCAAGAAACUAAAUUACACACUGCAUUUUACCCAAAUAAAAUCAGGGCUCAGCAAAGAUUAUUCUACCCAAAUCAUAAAUUGAUAAUAGGAAAUUUGAUAGCACAAGCUCAAGCUAUAAACAUUUGAGUCAAUAGCCAUCUUCUGCACUACCUAUUAUUAAUUACAAUUUACAAGCCACUAAAAUCUAGUUUGCAAAAUGCAUUUUCCCCAUGCUAAAGUCGAGGAAUUAGAUGCAAUCUACCCUCUUUUCUAACUAUUUUUUCAGACAAGCCACAUAGAAAAAGGCAAAUAUUUUGAUUGAACCAAUUCGAUUUAAAAUCACCAAUCAACGUAUCAUCAUGCCCUUCUGCUCUAUCUUCUUCGAUUGUCUCAAGUUUAGGCGAAUGUGACGGCUUAUUAGGAACUAUUAUAGGCAACGGUGCAACCUCGAGCCAAGAGUCAAUAACAACUCCUUUCGCCAUUAAUCUUGAAUUUUAUCCGAUUCGAAAACUAUUUGGAAUUGGAAGAGAUGUACUACUAUAUCAUAUGACACUAGAGAGGAUGAUCAUGAAAAAUGAUUUGAAUUGAGAGGAAAUACUUCGGGUUUAUAUAGGGAAACAUAGGAAAAAAAUAUCGAGCGUAUAAUUGAUGAUGGAAAAUGAAUGAUCAAAUGGAAUGGAGUCAUAG
This 839-nucleotide long non-coding RNA is filed under the name Olea europaea (common olive). Its description in RNAcentral is "long non-coding RNA (OEUR_LNC007838)". The record is from RNAcentral. Lineage: Eukaryota; Viridiplantae; Streptophyta; Magnoliopsida; Lamiales; Oleaceae.